RNAcentral lists this ribosomal RNA (379 nucleotides) under uncultured eukaryote. Its description in RNAcentral is "partial 18S ribosomal RNA". It matches the Rfam family "Eukaryotic small subunit ribosomal RNA", at positions 592 to 975 of the family's 1831-position model. The record is from RNAcentral.
CAAUAGCGUAUAUUAAAGUUGUUGCAGUUAAAAAGCUCGUAGUUGAACUUCAGACCUGGCUGGGUGGUCUGCCUUCUUGGCGUGUACUGUCCGGCCGGGCCUUACCUCUUGGUGAGCCGGCAUGCCCUUCACUGGGUGUGUCGGGGAACCAGGACUUUUACCUUGAGAAAAUUAGAGUGUUCAAAGCAGGCUUAUGCCCGAAUACAUUAGCAUGGAAUAAUAAAAUAGGACGUGCGGUUCUAUUUUGUUGGUUUCUAGAGUCGCCGUAAUGAUUAAUAGGGAUAGUUGGGGGCAUUAGUAUUCCGUUGCUAGAGGUGAAAUUCUUGGAUUUACGGAAGACUAACUACUGCGAAAGCAUUUGCCAAGGAUGUUUUCAUUA